CGUGUAGGCGGGCCUGUUAGUCAGUGGUGAAAUCCUGCGGCUUAACCGUAGAACUGCCUCUGAUACUGCAGGUCUUGAGUUCGGAAGAGAGAGAUGGAAUUCCAGGUGUAGUGGUGAAAUACGUAGAUAUCUGGAAGAACACCAGUGGCGAAGGCGAUCUCUUGGUCCGUAACUGACGCUGAGGCGCGAAAGCGUGGGUAGCAAACA
This 207-nucleotide ribosomal RNA is filed under the name uncultured bacterium. Its description in RNAcentral is "partial 16S ribosomal RNA". It matches the Rfam family "Bacterial small subunit ribosomal RNA", at positions 568 to 774 of the family's 1533-position model. The record is from RNAcentral.